This 460-nucleotide ribosomal RNA is filed under the name uncultured bacterium. RNAcentral's name for it is "partial 16S ribosomal RNA". It matches the Rfam family "Bacterial small subunit ribosomal RNA", at positions 338 to 795 of the family's 1533-position model. The record is from RNAcentral.
CCUACGGGCGGCAGCAGUGAGGAAUAUUGGUCAAUGGACGGAAGUCUGAACCAGCCAUGCCGCGUGCAGGAAGACGGCUCUAUGAGUUGUAAACUGCUUUUGUACAAGGGUAAACCUGAAUACGUGUAUUCAGCUGAAAGUACUGUACGAAUAAGGAUCGGCUAACUCCGUGCCAGCAGCCGCGGUAAUACGGAGGAUCCAAGCGUUAUCCGGAUUUAUUGGGUUUAAAGGGUGCGUAGGCGGAUUGAUAAGUUAGAGGUGAAAUGUCCGAGCUUAACUCGGGAACUGCCUCGAAUACUGUUGAUCUAGAGAGUAGAUGCGGUAGGCGGAAUGUAUGGUGUAGCGGGGAAAUGCUUAGAGAUCAUACAGAACACCGAUUGCGAAGGCAGCUUACCAAUCUAUAUCUGACGUUGAGGCACGAAAGCGUGGGGAGCAAACAGGAUUAGAUACCCUGGUAGUC